GCUAUGCUCUUCUAAUGGUUAGGAAACCAGUUUGUGGCUUAGUAAACAACUUGGAGACUAAGGUUCGAUUCCUUAAUAUGGUA
Molecule: non-coding RNA, 83 nt
Organism: Hirsutella rhossiliensis
Lineage: Eukaryota; Fungi; Ascomycota; Sordariomycetes; Hypocreales; Ophiocordycipitaceae
Source: the annotation of a RefSeq genome assembly